Molecule: long non-coding RNA, 239 nt
Organism: Gordionus sp. m RMFG-2023
Lineage: Eukaryota; Metazoa; Nematomorpha; Gordioida; Chordodea; Parachordodidae
Exons: 3
Source: RefSeq, a predicted model, not a curated record
UGCUAGUCUAAAAUAUAAAAAAGACACUACCUAUAAUUUCGGAUCUAAAAAUAUAACCUCAGAUCAAGUCUUCUUUAUGGCUUAUGCACAAGAAUUCUGUGAACAAAGAUCACCUGACCUUCAAUUAGAUGAAUCUGAUCAUUCUCCGGGCGAAAUUAGGGUAAAUGCCGUUUUAUCAGAAUUCGAGCCUUUUUUGAAGAGCUGGAAUUGCAGUGAAAAAUGUCAAACUCAAUAUUCGC